CCUACGGGGGGCAGCAGUGGGGAAUAUUGCACAAUGGGGGAAACCCUGAUGCAGCGACGCCGCGUGAGUGAAGAAGUAUUUCGGUACGUAAAGCUCUAUCAGCAGGGAAGAAAAUGACGGUACCUGACUAAGAAGCCCCGGCUAACUACGUGCCAGCAGCCGCGGUAAUACGUAGGGGGCAAGCGUUAUCCGGAUGUACUGGGUGUAAAGGGAGCGUAGACGGCAGCGCAAGUCUGGAGUGAAAUCCCAUGGCUUAACCAUGGAACUGCUUUGGAAACUGUGCAGCUAGAGUGCAGGAGAGGUAAGCGGAAUUCCUAGUGUAGCGGUGAAAUGCGUAGAUAUUAGGAGGAACACCAGUGGCGAAGGCGGCUUACUGGACUGUAACUGACGUUGAGGCUCGAAAGCGUGGGGAGCAAACAGGAUUAGAUACCCGGGUAGUC
RNAcentral lists this ribosomal RNA (440 nucleotides) under uncultured bacterium. Its description in RNAcentral is "partial 16S ribosomal RNA". It matches the Rfam family "Bacterial small subunit ribosomal RNA", at positions 338 to 795 of the family's 1533-position model. The record is from RNAcentral.